AACACACAACCUGAAUAGUGUUGCUGCAUAACGGCAGCAAUAAGUUGUCAGGAAAUGUUCAACUAUUCUUGUUUACAUGAAUGAAAGCUCAAAAUAAUACAGUAAAAUAGCUCUCUAAUGGUCUUCGUAACCAGAAAAAGUACGAUGAACAAUAGUUCAGCACAGAAAAUAUAGUAUAAUGAAAGAAACUCAACAUAUAAACAAGAAAGCCUAUUUUCAACACAGGUAUCCCGGAGUUGAUGCAAAACCGGAAAUAGUAAUGCCUAAUUAUGCAUAGAAACCGCUGAAAUCUGAGCCUAAGUACACUCGCACGAGACAUCGAACUCGUGAAACAAUCUACGUUUAAAAUAUGGCUUUUAUAACUGGAAUACUACGGAAAAAACAAGGUUAAUACUCAAAACUAUCGGAACAUAGGAUGCCGGAAACACUGACAAAAGAGCAAUGGGAACAAGACGCAAAAUGGAGAGUCUACCUAUAUACCGAGGUUGGGUUUUACAAUUAUGUUUUUCACAUAACUGCACAUGGAGAGUCUACCUAUAUACCGAGGUUGGGUUUUGCAAUUAUGUUUUUGACAUAAGUGCGAAAUUGAGAGUUCAUCUUUUAUAGUGGCGUCUGUACCAUGAGGGUACAGAUGUACCCUUUCUAGCCCAAACAUUUAUUCCAUUUUAGAUUGCAGAACAUGUCUUAACGAUUCAACUUUUUAAACUCUUUGUAAAUACUCAAGUGCAGUAAACGCGCGCAUAUGUGAAAAACUGAAACUAAAGAAGCAGUGAAGUUUGUCCAAUUUUCUCUUAGCACCUAAUUAUUGGACAUAUUUGGUUAUCUUUGGACGCUACCCGUAGCUAUAUGCUUAUUGCUUUUAAAGUCCAAGAAUACAAAAAGAAAAUAUUAGGGUUUUUCCAAAUUCUAGAAUUGCAGUUGAGACCUAAAAUUACAAUAUAUUAACUCGCGAAAAAAAAUUAAUAUAUACUUCAAAGAGGCAAAGCGCAUAGCCUGUGUAGAAACGAUGGUGUCAAAAUCAAUUUGAUUGGCCGAAAGAAAGCAGACCUUUAUCAGUAACACACUGUUAUCAUUAGCACUAGGCUGUUUAUCAAACAACGAAAGGGAUUAUUGGUGGUGGUGGGAGCCAGAUUCCUGGUGGUGUCGAUUGAGUUUGUGCAUAUUUUUUUCAAAGUGUUUUUAAAGUGUAUAAAAUUCUUACCAACUGCUAUCCCUUAAGAGGUGUUUAAGGAUUUCCCAAUUCUGCUAUCUUUUAGAGGAAUCACGUCAAGGGUGGCCCUCUAAUCUCCCAAAACGCAUUUUACAGAGUCUAAACCACAAGUCAACUGAUCGGUUAAUACUUCCGGUUUUAUUGUCCGUAACGAUACAGCAUCCAUCAGUCAAUUAAAACGGGCAUUGUUCAAGCGAUGCUAAAUAGAAAUGUCAACCAAAUGGCUUGACAGUUUACAGAAGAAACCACAUCUAUCUGAUUGUGCGCAAAUUAUAUCCAACCUCCUUAAAUCGGUAAACUCUCAACAAGUUAAGUAAAAAAUAUAAUUGCAAAAUCAAACCUUCGCAUAUAGGUUGAACUCUACAUUUCGCACUUAUGUAAAAAAACAUAAUUGCAAAAACCAACCUCGGUAUAUAGGUAAACAUACCAUUUUGCAAUUAUGUCAAAAAGAUAAUUGCAAAACCCAACCUCGGCAUAUAGGUAGACUCUCCAUUUUGCAGUUAUGUCAAAAACAUAAUUGCAAAAACCAACCUUGGUAUAUAGGUGAACCUUCCAUUUUGCAGUUAUGACACAUAAUUGCAAAAACCAACCUCGGUAUAUAGGUAAACCUUUCAUUUUGCAAUUAUGUCAAAAACGUAAUUGCAAAAAACCAACCUCGGCAUAAGGGUAAACCUUCAAUUUUGCAGUUAUGUCAAAAACAUAAUUGCAAAAACCAACCUCGGUACAUAGGUAAACCUUCCAUUUUGCAGUUAUGUCAAAAACAUAAUUGCAAAACCCAACCUCGGUACAUAGGUAAAACUUCCAUUUUGCAGUUAUGUCAAAAACAUAAUUGCAAAAACCGCCCUCGGUAUAUAAGUGUUCUGUAUAUUUUGCAAUAUUUUUUUCCUGAGAAACAUAAUUGCAAAAUGCUAUGAUCCUCUAUAGAAGAAGUUAACUGCGAAAUACAGUCAUUAAAAGUAAAGAAUCUCGUAAAACAAUAAACUAAAGAGUCCUCAUAGAAAUUGUUCUCAUCAAAUCCCAGCCUUGCUUUUGAGAUAGGAAAGGUUAGACCUAAGCAAGUAAAUAGUAGGACGGACAGGCUAUAAACACCGUCUGUCUGCCUGAAUUUAGAAUACAUACGCUAACCUCAAAGCCAACCUCAAUACAUGCCUUUGAGCGACUUCAAACAGAUGCAACCAAACUCAUUUACAAUCAUCAAAAGCUGAAAUAGUCCCUCUGCUUACUUUCAAGAAGUAGUAGUAGUUUUACAACAACAAAGAAAUCUGUCUUUGAGAAUGGUGAUUUUGGAGAGGGGGUUGAUAGCGAGUUAGGCCAAAAGGGGCCCAUAGGUUCUCCCUCGGCUUUGGGGAGUGAGUUGAUAGCGAGUUAGGCCAAGGGGGUCCCAUAGCAAGAGUCCCCCUUUAGUAUAAACAAAUGGUGCUUGAAUAUUCUCCAAAGCAUAGUUUCUAAUUUCUGGUCUGGAUUAGCUGUGCCUUGGCAAGAAGAGCGGAGUGAUCCCAUACGUGGGAGGGGAUGGUAGUUGUUUCAGGGGGAGAGUCUCCUGUAAAGCAUGCUGGGUCAGGGCUAGAGAAAAAUAUGGCGGACACUACACAGGUUUCGAAAAA
Nematostella vectensis (starlet sea anemone) is the source of this 2814-nucleotide long non-coding RNA. RefSeq lists it as uncharacterized. The record is from RefSeq and is a predicted model, not a curated record. The transcript has 2 exons. NCBI's taxonomy places the organism in Eukaryota, Metazoa, Cnidaria, Anthozoa, Actiniaria, Edwardsiidae.